Long non-coding RNA from Oreochromis aureus, 865 nucleotides. The record is from Ensembl. Lineage: Eukaryota; Metazoa; Chordata; Actinopteri; Cichliformes; Cichlidae.
CCACACACUGGAGUGUGGCCAGGAGUACACAGUGAAUUUGAUGUCCUUCAAUGGCAGCUGCGUCAGUCGUCCUUCAGAGUUAUAUUUCAGGGAAGUUCCAUGUGUACCCACUAACGUCGAAAAAAGGAGAAGCUGCAGCCAGAAUUUUGUGGACGUCAUGUGGCAAGCAAGUCGGGGUGCCAUAAACUACACUGCUACUGCUCUGGAUGCAGAUGGCGGUUACUUAAAGUGUACAUCCAAUGAGACAUCGUGCAGGCUGGUCGAUGUAAUGUGUGGACAUGUGUAUAAUAUCAGUGUGGUUGCUGUGGAUAACAUGUGCACCAGCAUGAAGAGCCGCACAUUGCAACUACAGAUAGAGCCCUGCCCACCCUCUCAGCUGACCGUCUCAGUGAACUGUAGCAGUAACUCUGCCAAGUUAGCCUGGCAGAGCAGCCCCAACGCAGUGUCUCAUACUGGCAAAGCCAUAACUGCAGAUGGUCAUAAUGUGACCUGUUCCACAAUGACAGAACUCAGUUGUAAUAUGGAGGGUCUGCAGUGUGGAAAGAUGUAUAACUUCACUGUGUCAGCCUCAGAUUAUUACUGUCAGAGUCCAGACAGCAAGCCAGUCAUCCAUACAACUGCCCCAUGUACUGUGCAGAAUAUGCUGACCACUCUUAACUGUACCACCAACAUACUGACCGUCAGCUGGACACCGGGAUCCAUGCCAGUGAACUACAGCACCACAGCGGUGACAACAAAUGGCACUACACUUCGCUGCGUCACGCAGAGUUCUAGCUGUACGAUGCCUGAGUUACAGUGUGGACAGCAGUACAGUGUGAGGGUCAAGCCCAUCAGCAGCACAUGUGAAGGACCCAGCAGCAUCCUG